Molecule: ribosomal RNA, 252 nt
Filed under: uncultured bacterium
Lineage: Bacteria
Description: partial 16S ribosomal RNA
Rfam family: Bacterial small subunit ribosomal RNA
Source: RNAcentral
UACGGAGGAUGCGAGCGUUAUCCGGAUUUAUUGGGUUUAAAGGGUGCGUAGGCGGGCUUUUAAGUCAGCGGUAAAAAUUCGGGGCUCAACCCCGUCCGGCCGUUGAAACUGGGGGCCUUGAGUGGGCGAGAAGAAGGCGGAAUGCGUGGUGUAGCGGUGAAAUGCAUAGAUAUCACGCAGAACCCCGAUUGCGAAGGCAGCCUUCCGGCGCCCUACUGACGCUGAGGCCCGAAAGCGUGGGGAGCAAACAGG